RNAcentral lists this ribosomal RNA (612 nucleotides) under Trichoderma koningiopsis. Its description in RNAcentral is "eukaryotic LSU rRNA". The stretch from base 223 to 376 matches the Rfam family "5.8S ribosomal RNA". Lineage: Eukaryota; Fungi; Ascomycota; Sordariomycetes; Hypocreales; Hypocreaceae. The record is from RNAcentral.
AAAAAGGGUCUCCGUUGGUGACCAGCGGAGGGACAUUACCGAGUUUACAACUCCCAAACCCAAUGUGAACCAUACCAAACUGUUGCCUCGGCGGGGUCACGCCCCGGGUGCGUCGCAGCCCCGGAACCAGGCGCCCGCCGGAGGGACCAACCAAACUCUUUCUGUAGUCCCCUCGCGGACGUUAUUUCUUACAGCUCUGAGCAAAAAUUCAAAAUGAAUCAAAACUUUCAACAACGGAUCUCUUGGUUCUGGCAUCGAUGAAGAACGCAGCGAAAUGCGAUAAGUAAUGUGAAUUGCAGAAUUCAGUGAAUCAUCGAAUCUUUGAACGCACAUUGCGCCCGCCAGUAUUCUGGCGGGCAUGCCUGUCCGAGCGUCAUUUCAACCCUCGAACCCCUCCGGGGGGUCGGCGUUGGGGAUCGGGAACCCCUAAGACGGGAUCCCGGCCCCGAAAUACAGUGGCGGUCUCGCCGCAGCCUCUCCUGCGCAGUAGUUUGCACAACUCGCACCGGGAGCGCGGCGCGUCCACGUCCGUAAAACACCCAACUUCUGAAAUGUUGACCUCGGAUCAGGUAGGAAUACCCGCUGAACUUAAGCAUAUCAAUAAGCGGAGGA